This 865-nucleotide ribosomal RNA is filed under the name uncultured bacterium. RNAcentral describes it as "bacterial SSU rRNA". It matches the Rfam family "Bacterial small subunit ribosomal RNA", at positions 9 to 873 of the family's 1533-position model. The record is from RNAcentral.
AGAGUUUGAUCAUGGCUCAGGAUGAACGCUAGCGGCAGGCCUAACACAUGCAAGUCGAGGGGCAGCACGUCUUCGGAUGGUGGUGACCGGCGCACGGGUGCGUAACGCGUAUGCAACCUACCUCUUACAGUGGGAUAGCCCAGAGAAAUUUGGAUUAAUACCGCAUAGGAUACUGGACCAGCAUUGGUCCUGUAUUAAACAUUCAUGGGUAAGAGAUGGGCAUGCGUUCUAUUAGUUAGUUGGAGUGGUAACGGCACCCCAAGACAGCGAUAGAUAGGGGCCCUGAGAGGGGGAUCCCCCACACUGGUACUGAGACACGGACCAGACUCCUACGGGAGGCAGCAGUGAGGAAUAUUGGACAAUGGGCGAGAGCCUGAUCCAGCCAUGCCGCGUGCAGGAAGACGGCCCUAUGGGUUGUAAACUGCUUUUGUACGGGAAGAAACACCCCCUCGUGAGGGGGCUUGACGGUACCGUAAGAAUAAGGAUCGGCUAACUCCGUGCCAGCAGCCGCGGUAAUACGGAGGAUCCAAGCGUUAUCCGGAAUCAUUGGGUUUAAAGGGUCCGUAGGUGGGCCGUUAAGUCAGAGGUGAAAUCCUGCAGCUCAACUGUAGAAUUGCCUUUGAUACUGGCGGUCUUGAAUUAUUGUGAAGUGGUUAGAAUAUGUGGUGUAGCGGUGAAAUGCAUAGAUAUCACAUAGAAUACCGAUUGCGAAGGCAGAUCACUAACAAUGCAUUGACACUGAUGGACGAAAGCGUGGGGAGCGAACAGGAUUAGAUACCCUGGUAGUCCACGCCGUAAACGAUGGAUACUAGCUGUCCGGACUUCGGUCUGGGUGGCUAAGCGAAAGUGAUAAGUUCCCCCCUGG